Molecule: ribosomal RNA, 444 nt
Filed under: uncultured microorganism
Description: bacterial SSU rRNA
Rfam family: Bacterial small subunit ribosomal RNA
Source: RNAcentral
GUGCACCAGGCGCGAAUCUUCGGCAAUGGACGCAAGUCUGACCGAGCGACGCCGCGUGCGGGAUGAAGGCCCUUGGGUUGUAAACCGCUGUCAGAGGGGAUGAAAUGCGAGAGGGCUAUCCCUCUCGUUUGACAGAGCCUCAGAGGAAGCACGGGCUAAGUACGUGCCAGCAGCCGCGGUAACACGUACUGUGCGAACGUUAUUCGGAAUCACUGGGCUUAAAGGGUGCGUAGGCGGUUUAGUAAGUAGGGUGUGAAAUGCCAGAGCUCAACUUUGGCACGGCGCCCUAAACUGCUAAACUUGAGUGAGAUAGGGGUGUACGGAACUUCCGGUGGAGCGGUGAAAUGCGUUGAUAUCGGAAGGAACACCGGUGGCGAAAGCGGUACACUGGGGUCUUAACUGACGCUGAGGCACGAAAGCCAGGGUAGCGAACGGGAUUAGAUA